Molecule: transfer RNA, 75 nt
Filed under: Cordylochernes scorpioides
Lineage: Eukaryota; Metazoa; Arthropoda; Arachnida; Pseudoscorpiones; Chernetidae
Description: tRNA-Thr
Source: RNAcentral
GUCCAGGUUUUCCUAGUGGAAAUGGCAUCUGCCCGGUAAGCGGAACACUGUGCGUUCGAUUCCCAUCCCUGGACA